RNAcentral lists this ribosomal RNA (305 nucleotides) under uncultured bacterium. RNAcentral describes it as "bacterial SSU rRNA". It matches the Rfam family "Bacterial small subunit ribosomal RNA", at positions 334 to 653 of the family's 1533-position model. The record is from RNAcentral.
UUGGCCUACGGGGGGCAGCAGUGGGGAAUAUUGGGCAAUGGGCGCAAGCCUGACCCAGCAACGCCGCGUGAAGGAAGAGGGCUUUCGGGUUGUAAACUUCUUUUCUCAGGGACGAAGAAAGUGACGGUACCUGAGGAAUAAGCCACGGCUAACUACGUGCCAGCAGCCGCGGUAAUACGUAGGUGGCAAGCGUUAUCCGGAUUUAUUGGGUGUAAAGGGCGUGUAGGCGGGAGCGCAAGUCAGAUGUGAAAUCCGGGGGCUCAACCCCCGAACUGCAUUUGAAACUGUUGGUCUUGAGUAUCGGG